Molecule: long non-coding RNA, 6308 nt
Filed under: Sus scrofa (pig)
Lineage: Eukaryota; Metazoa; Chordata; Mammalia; Artiodactyla; Suidae
Description: lncRNA (ENSSSCG00025003224.1)
Source: RNAcentral
GGGUCAGAUUAAUAAUGGAUUAAUAAUGAAGGUCAUAGAAGGUUUGUGGAGGAGGAAAACAGUUUUGUGCAUGAUCAGGAUUGGCUACAAUUGAAUUAAGAAAACAAUUUUUAAAGAUAAAGUGGUACAAUUUUCUAAGAGGACAAAGUUUUCUUAAAAUAUGAAUUGUUUUUGGUAACAGUUUGGGAGUUUCUUUGUGUUUAAUUGACCUGCCUUUGCCAAUGAGGUCGUUAUUAACACUGGCUGAGUAAGUAUUGUUUCACAGUGACUUCUGACUCUGAAGUGUUUUAAAAUUUUUUGAUAAUUUUGAGGAACUUCCCAAAUAUCAAAUUCAAAAUGAAGUUCAGUUGACCUCUAGCUAACGUUGAGGUUUUCUAAAGGGUCCCUGGAACACCUCAAAAUAUAUCUUUCCUCUCUGAUCUCCGAGAACCAGCAGAGAAGAGUGAGGGCUUGAAGAAAGAUUUUAAUUCUCUGCUCAGGAAUUGAACCUGGGAAGCUGGAGUGAAAACCAGGAAUGCUAGCCCCUAGACCGGCUAGAGGCUAAAAGCAGAAUUGUCCUGGUUUUUGCCCCCUGUUGAAAGCAAGAAUGUGCCAAGGAGGCAGACGGUGAAAACAAGUAUGAAGUUUAUGAUAGAACCACAGCACAACAUGUGGGAGCAGUUUAUUUAAGACAAAUAGGACAGUAAAGCACACCCAAAAGAGGAGUGUGGGUGCAUGUGUCCCCCUCGAUGAGGAGCAUACCAGUGAGGUUAUUUAAAUCACUUACAUAGGACAGUUCUUCCGGUCUUUGUUUUCCUUUGGCCAAUGUCAAUUAUCUUGUUUUAUUUCUCACACCUGACUGGACUCAGGGCCCUCCCAAAUAUGUUUGUGCGUUUUUUUGGCCAAGAUGGAUUCCAGAGCAAAGAGUUCCGGGAUGGUAAUAGGACUUACUACGGCCUGGCACCCCCUCCUUUUUUGACCCCUAGAAGUCUUACUGUGCAUGUGUAAUUGGGAAGGUCUCCUUGACCCCAGGAGAGAUUGAAGUGGUCAUUUUAUCUCUCUACUCCAUCAGAGGUCAGCUCCUGCCAUUAAUUUUCUCCUCGACAUGUCAAAGAGAAGCAGGGCCCAAUUUCCUUGGCCUAACAAAUCUCAGCUGUUCUCAGCCCAGGGGCCAAUCUACCUCUUACCUCAUCUCCACUUCAGAGAGAGGAAUGUUAAACUAUGCUUAUUCAGUAUGUUGAAUUACAUGGAAAGUAUUUUCAACUAAGUGGUGAUAAAACUUCUUAGAUUAUAGUCUAUGGGUAAAUGUUAUUAAUACACACACUCUAGAAAUUAUAGGGAACUCCUAAAAUUCUGAUAUAUCCUGGUAAGUGAUCUCAGUCAUAAUUUUAGUAAUUAACUUAUUGUAUGUCACAGCAGUAACCAAGUUUCUUUUCAAUUGCAUUGUAACCAGGUCUUUAACGAUGACUUGUUAAGACUUGUUAUAGUCUCUUGCUUUUGCAAAAGUGGUUCUUCUUCAGGAAGAUUCAUAAGAAGAACUUUUGAAAGGACAAAUCAUACUGAAACUGACAGCACUUAUGGCUUGAACCUAGCCACAGCCCAGAUUGGGACUUGAAGCCAGGUGCUGGAACUCAAACCUAACCUAAACUCAGACUGGGACUUGAACGAUGUUUUUUAAAUUAGGAUCACUCACCCAGUGUCUGGACUUACUGAGGUUCAGGUUCUUUGUGUCUCAGCGCAGAAGGAAUUCAGCAAGAUAGAAAGUGAUAGGCAAGAAAUAGAUUUAUUAAGAUAAGGUGCUUGUGAGAGAUACAAGCAGGCAGGCAAAGAGGCUCUGCCCUGAAGAUGAGGUGGGCUACACUUUUAUAAUCCAAGGGAAAUGGGGGUGGGAAAAGACUGCCUCUUCCUCUUUUUUCCAGUAGUAACUCCUCCUUUGUAUCUGGUAAGAGAGUGUUUGACCCUAUAAGGUCAAACUAGGACUGUCGCAGUGCUUAUUCAAAUCAGCAGACAGGUGGUCCUUAAACUUCUUUCCUUAAUCUGAACCUGAAUGCAGCCUCACCCUGUCCGCCACCAGAUGACCUGAGGCAUAUCUCAUGCCUCCACUAGUCAAGCAAACCUGCCUCACUGAGUAUUAGUGAUAAAAUAUAUGGCCUAUACAAUAUUUCCCCAUUAAUAUACAUUUGAGUCUGUCAUGAGAUCUGAUUAUAUAAAGGAGGCCUAGCACCAAGCAACAUGAUCUGAACCCCAAUAGGAGUCAGAACCCAGCAUCACGGGGUGGAUAUUUUGAUAGUCGGUGCUUUCUAUUGAAAGAUUUGCAAUCAAAGAGGGAAGUGAUGGAAAAAAAUCUGCAGUACUAAGGUGUGGGGAAGUCAGAAGGUUUAAACAUGGUUUAACUUUUCUGAUCAGAGCACCCAUUUUUUGGCCUAUCAGAUAUGCAUUGUACAUCUGCUUUGGCCAUUGAGGAAGGGAAUGCAUUUAACGGUCAAACUGGAGUAGCUGUGUUCCAGACAAGAUAAAGCUAAGGUAGCCAUUAUAGACACAAUUUUAGACACAUUCCUGUAUUAUUGAAAAGUUGAUUUUUCUGAACUGUAUUGCAGGCCAGGACAAAAACGCAGGCAAGUGUGGUAUUAUCUCAGAAUGUGGUGACUGCCUGUAUUUUGCUUAAUUGUCAUGCUCCCCACUGAGUUGUGUCUGUUAGAUGUCUUAUAUUUUGUUCCUAGUCUGAGUGAAGGGAAACUAUUGAGAACUGGGCAGCAACAACAUCCUCACUGUGAAAUGAAUCUAAUUGCUGCACCCAUAGUGAGAUGCCAUCCCCUGGAAUUCCACGAAAAAUUGACCCAGCUACUGUGACUGUGUGGGCAUGACUGACAAUAAGUGGGAAAGACUCUCACCAUUUCCUGUCCUGUGUGCCAGUACAUCAGAAGGACCCCCAUCAGUAAAUGUUAUUGUACAUCUGACUACCCAUGAGUCCCCUUAUGCUAUUUGGAGUGGAAUAGGUUGGCUUCUAGACAUGCAAGUCCAACUAGUGAGAUUAACUGUUCUUUGUUGUUUUUGUUUGGAAAGAUAUAAUGGGUCUAUGCCUAAUGGCACCCAAUAUAACAUGAGUGGCCGACUAUUACUGUGAUUGCUGACUCCUGGCUAGGCCAUCAGAAUGUUUCUUUUAGAGCCAGAGCCUACCCCUCCCCAUGGAAGUGGCCCUGGGUUUAUGAAAACCAGGGGUGGCCUGAACUUCCUUAUAACUGGACAGGACUCUGCUGUUGUUGACUCCUUUGACCUCGUAAGCGCUUGGAUCCAAAAUUUGCCCACAUGCUGGCAAAUGACUAUUCUCAGCAUACAAGGUAUCUUACACUUGACACUCUUUGGCUCCUGCUCUCUGUGUUGUAUUUGAGGCAUCUGAUUGCAGCCCCCCCCCCAUAACUGACCCCAGAGAUAUAGCAGAAGAAAGGUGGAUCGAGGUGGCAAGGUAUGCCAGGAUGGAGUAUAUGGUCAGGCCACUCAAGAUGUCUGUAUUCUUGCUCUUUGUACAUCACUUGCCUGAUCUGUCUGCUUCAUCCACACACACAUGACUGACCUUUCUGUGUACAGCUGGUGAUUGUUCUUAUCAAAAGGGUGGUGAGGGGCAUGCCCCUCUGCUGGUUUCCCUGGUAGCUAAUGAGUCAAUCUGACGUUAAUUGCCCCAUCACUGGCAAUCUCCUCUCCCCACAACCCGAGCAAAGCCUGCUGCCAUGUCCAGCCAACUGUAUGCUGCACAUGGUAGGGUGUCAUCCAGGACCUUGCUUCAGACGUGUAAGCUCCCAGAUCAAUUAAACCAGUAAUGUCUGUGUCUCGAAUGUCAGGCUUUUUCUUCAGUCUUGAAGACAAGCAAGGGGAGGGCUUGCAGGCCUGUGGGGUCCAGCCUAACAGUCACUCAGGGAGUCUGCUCUGUCUGGAGCCUCCUCUUCCUUUCUUCUUUCAAAGCCCUUUUAACAGUCCACUCUUCUCUAGAAGUUUCAGAGUAUGCUUUGGAAAGACGGAAAAAUCAAAUGACAUUAACAUGUAGAAAAGAGUUAUGAGCAUUAAAUAGGAUGAUUUAAUGAGCUUAGCACCGUGCCUGUAAAACAGCACACCAUAAGUGGCAGAGCUGCUCAAUAUUAACAUUAUCACUGUCAUUACCAUGGUUAUCGCCCUCUCUUAAACAUACUUAUUUGCCAUGCAGAAUUUCGAGCUGCACCCAAAAAAUAGCAAAAUUAGUGAACUAUCCAGGACCCACGCCUAUCCCCCCUUCCUGACAGAAUGGCACCCCACCCCACACACCUGUGUCCUUAUAUGAAGGUGAUCCCACCCCAGCUCUAGGAGGAGGCUCUUUGGUUUAAAAGUACUCCCCCUCCUUAUUAGUAGCAGUUUGCAGAGUGAAUGUGUGAAUACAUCUUGGCUCUGAGACUGAAGAAUUCCUGCUGAAGGAACUUGGGAAAACCUCCUCACUCCUAAGAGAGAACUACAUAGGACACCCUCUUCUUCCUCCUGAGAUUUCUGUGUGCAGAUGUAACAUCUGGCAUAGGUGCAGCCAUCUGCUUCGUGCCUACAUUUGAAGUAGCAGCUAUGAUGACUGAGCAAACACAUUGAGGAGUAUUGGGAUUCCUCUUAAUAUCUUUGAGCCACCUGAUCAACCUCUCUCUGGAUUUCUAGUUGUAUGUGAUAAUAAAUUUCCUUAUUGUUUAUGCCAUAUACCCCUGUAAGAUAUCACAGCUCUUAAAUAUACAGAGGCAAAAAUAGCAAAAUGUAUUGAUUAUUUAUUAUAUGUUGUGUCCUACAGAAGAUAAAAACUCUAACUUUCUACCCAAAGGUCUCUUUGGAGUUUAUCAUGGGAGGUUGAUUAAAAUUGUUUUGGUUUCUCAUCUGUCUGGAACUCUCCUUGGCAAGGACGAGGGUCACACUCAUUCGUGAAAGCAAAAGUAAAAUUCAUUGCCCAAUGAUGUUUUCUUAAAUACUCUUUCUAUGACAGGUGCUGUAUGAGGGAGGUACUGAGAAGCAGAACUUCACAGUCUAGAGAAUAAAAACUUGGGUAAUUAAGAUAGAGGCAGGAGGCCACAUACAGGGACUCAAGGGUGAAGUGAGGGCUUAGGAAGUUGGGGGUUAGAUGGGUGAAUGGUUGCAAUGGGAAGGUCAGAGAGAGGGUCAGGUAAGAGGCUUGGAAAGAGAGAAGAGAGAACAUUCCAAGCAAAAGAAAAAGCACAAAGUCAGAUGACAAACAGCCUGAUGUGUCCAGCAAAUACCAAAGCAUAUGUUAAAGCUAUCAACCUGUAAAUGCUGUGAAAAUGGUUUGGAAUAGAUAAACAUAGCAGUAGAACAAAGCAGAGAACCAUUUAUAUCAAUGAAUUUAAUAUAUAAAAAAGGCAGUAUUUCUAAUCAUUGCAGAAAUGAUGAAGGACUUCACUUCUCACUCUAUAGAUCACUGCAGGUCAGGAAUUAGACAAGAGCAUGGUAGAGAUGGCUUUUUUCUGCUGCAUAAUUGUCUGGAGUUUCCCCUGGAAGACUGGAAGGCAGGAGUUAAUGCUGUAUUCCCUCUCUCUUCCUCUUUCUUGAAUCUCAUGGCUCCUGCUCUUCUGAGCCUGCCUGAUCCAUUUUCCCGUCUCCCACAGCCCGCUUUCCUUGCUAACCUACACCACAAUUCCUGUUUUCUCACAAUGUUAGUUUUGCACAUGGCUCAUAAUGGCCCCCUGAAACCUGAGUAAUCUUCCUGAAUUUUAUGUUCCAUAUCCAUGGCUAACCCCCUUUCCAGUUCUCAGUUCCAAAUUGUAGGGAGAGAAAUAUGAUUGGAGGAGCUUACCUUUGAAGACACACUUCAAGAAUCAUUGGUCACUAGCAGCCAUGAUUGGCUGUCCUUGGGGUAUGUAACCAUGCCUGGUCCAAUCAGCCAUUGAAUAAGUAAGAUCAUGCAAUACAAACCAUGGCCACUUAACUGUAGGUGGGCAGAUUCUAUUUGCAUGGAUUAGCAUGUGAUUGUGCAAUACAAUAGCCACUAGCCAUGUGGAGAGUUUAAAUUCAAAUUGAUUGAAAUUAAAUAAAAUGUAAAGUAGUUCCUGUUCUGGAGCAAAGGGUUUAGAAUCCAACUAGUAUCUGUGAGAAUGCAGGUUCAAUCCCUGGCCUGGCUCAGUGAGUGAAAUGAUCCAGCAUUGCUUUGAGCUGCAGUGUAGGUUGCAGAUAAGGCUCAGAUCCUGCAUGUGCUGUGGUAUAGGCCAGCAGCCACAUUUGACCCCUAGCCUGACAACUUCCAUGUGCUGUAGGUGCGGCCCUAAAAAAUUAAAAAUUAAUAUAAAAUCCUCAUUUAUGCUAGCCACACUUCCAGUGCU